GACGAACGCUGGCGGCGUGCUUAACACAUGCAAGUCGAACGGAAAGGCCCUGCUUUUGUGGGGUGCUCGAGUGGCGAACGGGUGAGUAACACGUGAGUAACCUGCCCUUGACUUUGGGAUAACUUCUGGAAACUGGGGCUAAUACCGGAUAGGAGCUCCUGCUGCAUGGUGGGGGUUGGAAAGUUUCGGCGGGUGGGGAUGGACUCGCGGCUUAUCAGCUUGUUGGUGGGGUAGUGGCUUACCAAGGCUUUGACGGGUAGCCGGCCUGAGAGGGUGACCGGCCACAUUGGGACUGAGAUACGGCCCAGACUCCUACGGGGGGCAGCAGGGGGGAAUAUUGCACAAUGGGCGGAAGCCUGAUGCAGCAACGCCGCGUGCGGGAUGACGGCCUUCGGGUUGUAAACCGCGUUCGCCUGUGACGAAGCGUGAGUGACGGUAAUGGGUAAAGAAGCACCGGCUAACUACGUG
RNAcentral lists this ribosomal RNA (468 nucleotides) under uncultured bacterium. Its description in RNAcentral is "partial 16S ribosomal RNA". It matches the Rfam family "Bacterial small subunit ribosomal RNA", at positions 28 to 507 of the family's 1533-position model. The record is from RNAcentral.